RNAcentral lists this small nuclear RNA (282 nucleotides) under Rattus norvegicus (Norway rat). RNAcentral's name for it is "7SK RNA". It matches the Rfam family "7SK RNA", at positions 1 to 285 of the family's 331-position model. From Rfam's summary of the family: 7SK was discovered as an abundant small nuclear RNA in the mid-70s but a possible function has only recently been suggested. Lineage: Eukaryota; Metazoa; Chordata; Mammalia; Rodentia; Muridae. The record is from Rfam by way of RNAcentral.
GAAUGUGAGUAUGACCCUGCUGUGUCAUUUGUUACCUAUUGAUUGCCAGGGUCUAGUGAGCUGAUCGGCUAGGGAGGUAGGCACCUCUUCUCUCCCUCACAGCUUCAUGUGCUUGCAUUCUGAAGCUCCUUGAUUGGCUGAAGAGGACAGCAGACCUUCUCAAGAGAAGACGGAAUUCUUCAAUCAAGAGUAUAGUACUUGCCACACUCUCCUGGAAUAACCAUCAUAGAUGGUUUUAAAGAGAUGGGAGCAUGAAUCUCAGGAAAGAAAGUUCAAGGAAGU